ACGAGUUAGGGUCCACUCGGCCCGACCUCCCAACCCUUUGUUUACCAAACCUGUGUUGCUUCGGCGUGCCCGUCUAUGGACCGCCGGGGGACCGUCACACGUCCUCUGGCCCGCGCCCGCCGAAUGCCUACCACAAAACUCUUGCCAUGAAUCGUGUCAUUGUCUGAGUAAAACAUUUAAUUAAAAGCA
RNAcentral lists this unclassified non-coding RNA (189 nucleotides) under uncultured Chaetothyriales. RNAcentral describes it as "sequence contains ITS1". The record is from RNAcentral. Lineage: Eukaryota; Fungi; Ascomycota; Eurotiomycetes; Chaetothyriales.